Molecule: transfer RNA, 66 nt
Filed under: Trioceros melleri (Meller's chameleon)
Lineage: Eukaryota; Metazoa; Chordata; Lepidosauria; Squamata; Chamaeleonidae
Description: tRNA-Arg
Rfam family: tRNA
About the family: Transfer RNA (tRNA) molecules are approximately 80 nucleotides in length. Their secondary structure includes four short double-helical elements and three loops (D, anti-codon, and T loops). Further hydrogen bonds mediate the characteristic L-shaped molecular structure. tRNAs have two regions of fundamental functional importance: the anti-codon, which is responsible for specific mRNA codon recognition, and the 3' end, to which the tRNAs corresponding amino acid is attached (by aminoacyl-tRNA synthetases). tRNAs cope with the degeneracy of the genetic code in two manners: having more than one tRNA (with a specific anti-codon) for a particular amino acid; and 'wobble' base-pairing, i.e. permitting non-standard base-pairing at the 3rd anti-codon position.
Source: RNAcentral
CAGGAAUUAGUUUAAAAAAACACCUAACUUCGAAUUAGCUGAUUUAGGACACCCCUAAAUUCCUGU